CUGGAAUGGGGGGGGUCCCCGAAUUCCGAAAGCUGAUGAUCAAUCAAGCCACAGGAGAAGCAAAGUAAGAAAGGAUCUCCCUUGUUCUUGGACCUAAUUAUGACCACCCAGGGAUGAAAGUGAAUGGAUCACAGGAAGCCAAGAAUGCUCUCAGUUUGGAUGGAACAAUGCAGGGCACGGCCCGAAACAGAGCUGGAUCACUGAACACUGGAUUCUUCACCCCCAGCCUCAAAAGAGCCAGCCAGCGAGAGAGGGAACACAAGCAGGCGGAG
Ailuropoda melanoleuca (giant panda) is the source of this 272-nucleotide long non-coding RNA. RefSeq lists it as uncharacterized. NCBI's taxonomy places the organism in Eukaryota, Metazoa, Chordata, Mammalia, Carnivora, Ursidae. The transcript is spliced from 3 exons. The record is from RefSeq and is a predicted model, not a curated record.